UUAUGGCUCAGGACGAACGCUGGCGGCGUGCCUAACACAUGCAAGUCGAACGAGAAUCUCUGGAACGAGACUUCGGUCAAGGGAAGGAGAGGACAGUGGCGGACGGGUGAGUAACGCGUGAGCAACCUGCCCUUCAGAGGGGGACAACAGCUGGAAACGGCUGCUAAUACCGCAUAACAUAUCUGUAAGGCAUCUUAUAGAUAUCAAAGAUUUAUCGCUGAAGGAUGGGCUCGCGUCUGAUUAGCUUGUUGGUGGGGUAAUGGCCUACCAAGGCGACGAUCAGUAGCCGGACUGAGAGGUUGAACGGCCACAUUGGGACUGAGAUACGGCCCAGACUCCUACGGGAGGCAGCAGUGGGGAAUAUUGGGCAAUGGGGGGCCAACCCUGACCCAGCAACGCCGCGUGAAGGAAGAAGGCUUUCGGGUUGUAAACUUCUUUGACGAGGGACGAAUGAUGACGGUACCUCGAAAACAAGCCACGGCUAACUACGUGCCAGCCGCUGC
Molecule: ribosomal RNA, 503 nt
Filed under: uncultured bacterium
Lineage: Bacteria
Description: bacterial SSU rRNA
Rfam family: Bacterial small subunit ribosomal RNA
Source: RNAcentral